Molecule: long non-coding RNA, 521 nt
Organism: Paramisgurnus dabryanus
Lineage: Eukaryota; Metazoa; Chordata; Actinopteri; Cypriniformes; Cobitidae
Source: RefSeq, a predicted model, not a curated record
UGGACAAAAAAAGGCAGAGUACCAGUCAGUGGUUAAAGACACACAAAAUGUGGACAUCAAAACAAAUGGCUACAUUUGCUCGUGAGGAAGAUGAUAACGAAGAGGAUGAGACUCCUUCAAACCAUAAGAUAGUGGAUGAUUCACACUCAACUGCAAAGCAAUGAAAGAACACAUCUGUCACUAAAUUGAACCCAGUCACCUUGGAUUAUGCCCAAAAGUGUGAGAAUUACAAGAAACUCACCAGAACUGUGAUGGACUCCAUUUCCACCUUAGAAAAAAUGACAACAUGCUCCGUCACAGGGAAAAAAGGGACCACUGGUGAACAAAGACAGAGUCCUGACAGAGAAAGUGAAGCUAGUAAUAGGGAGCCUGCUGGAAGAGAAUCUGAGGACUGAUGCACAUAUAACAAUGGACAUGCAUAAAGACACAUCUCUAACAAUGGACAUGCAUGAAGACACAUCUCUCUCUCUCUCUCUCUCUCUCUCUCUCUCUCUCUCUCUCUCUCUCUCACAUACACACAC